Molecule: long non-coding RNA, 27308 nt
Filed under: Gossypium barbadense (sea-island cotton)
Lineage: Eukaryota; Viridiplantae; Streptophyta; Magnoliopsida; Malvales; Malvaceae
Description: long non-coding RNA (GBAR_LNC014750)
Source: RNAcentral
GCACGUACUUGAUAUAUUGAUAGUCUUUGGUUAGAAAUAAUAAGUGAUUCUAUUUUGCAAUAAAAUGUGAAUUUCAUUGUAGGAAGCCCUGGAAGGGGUUACAUGAAAGAAAGAUUCACAAAGAUUGAUGAUGAAAAUCGAGUUAAAGAAACAGAAGUGCUUGAAGGAGGAUACAAAGAUCUUGGAUUCGAUGUGGUUCGUAUUCGGUUAGAGAUAGUGGAGAAAGAUUCGGAAUCAUGUAUGGUGAGGUCAACUAUAGAGUAUGAAGGAGACGAGAAGCUUGCCGAUGUUGUUUCCCAUGUCAACGUUAAGCCACUGGAAAUGAUGGCUGAAAUUAUUGGGAAACAUCUCUGCCAAAACAAAUCCACUCUCUAGGACUUUCCCUUUCCAUGUUCCAAUCCAACUACUUUGUUUCAUUGCUCAUUUCUCAUGUAUAUCUAAGAUAUAAUGGAUAUAGAGCGUAUGUUUGAGGUUUAUAAUUGUCCUUUUAAUGAUGUUAUUUUCAAAAUUCGAAUAUAUAUUUUCUCUUUAAAAAUACAAUGUGACUUAAUUGAUGGUUUGAUGUUAUUAUAUAACCAAGGUUUGCUGCUUCAUUAUAAUAUCAAUUGAAUUUAUGGCUCUAUUUUUGUUCUUUUUUUUUGUUUGUUUAUUGGGUCAAUUUUUUUAUUUAAAUAGGGUGAUUAGUUCCCUAAGUUUGGUACGUUACUAAAUAUCCUCUCACACGUUUAACACUAUGUUUGGAUUAAAAGUAGUGAAGAAACAAAAAGUAAAAUCGGGAGAAUAAAAAAAAGUAAAUAAUUACAUUUAUCUUGUUUAAAUAAUUAAAUUUAAUAAAAUAAUAAAAUAAUUUUAAUAAUUUUUGUUUAGAUAAGCCGUGAAAAUGAUAAUUAUAAUGAAUUUUUAUAAAACUAUUUACAAAAGAAAUAAAGGACAAAAAAAAACAUUCUCUUUCUUUUUCCUAGUUUUAUCCCCCAAAUUGGGAUAACUAAAAAAAAUAACUUUUAAGAGAAAGUCAAAGGAUACUCAAUUUCCCUUACUUUACAUAGCUUAUAUUAUUAAGUCUAUCCGAGCAUUUGAGAAUUGUUUUGCAAAUUUUGCGCGAAAAGUAAUUAUUCGCUAAGUUUAGCAACUAUGAAUUCUGGCUUCGAGAAGUUAAAUUUCUGGGACAUGUUGCAUCAGCCGAGGGCAUCAAAGUUAAUCUGAGCAAAAUUUCAGCAGUUGUUGAUUAGAAGCCUUCGAGAAAUGCAUCUGAGGUUAGAAUUUUUCUAGGAUUAGCUGGAUAUUACAGAAGGUUUGUUAAGGGAUUUUCGAGGAUUGCUACACUGAUGACGAGAUUAUUGCAAACAGAUGUUAAGUUCGAGUGGUCUGAGAAAUGUCAGCAAAGCUUCGAUCGAUUAAAAGCACUGUUAAUCGAGGCAUCGGUGUUAGCUCAACCAAAGUCGAGUAAAGAAUUUGUGAUUUAUAGUGAUGCAUCUUUAAAUGGUUUAGGUUGUGUUUUGAUGCAGGAAGACAAAGUGAUAGCGUAUGCUUUUAGACAGUUAAAAAUGCACGAAAAAAAAUUAUCUGACGUAUGAUUUAGAGCUUACAAUGAUUGUAUUUGCGUUGAAGAUUUGGCGACACCAUUUAUACGGUGAAAAAUGUCAUAUCUUUAUAGAUCACAAGCUUGAAUUAUUUAAUGACAUAGAAAUAUUUGAAUUUGAGAAAGCGCAUAUGGCUCGAGCUAUUGAAAGACUAUGAUUUGAUCAUUGAUUAUCAUCCGGGAAAAGCUAAUGUAGUUGUCGAUGCUUUGAGUAGAAAAUCUCUGUUUGCUUUGCGAGCAUUGAAUACGUGAUUAACGUUGUCUGAUGAUGGUUCGAUCUUAGCUGAGUUGAAAUUUAAGCCGAUAUUUUUACAACAGAUUUAUGAGGCUCAGAAAUGUGAUGGUGUAUUGAUAGCCAAAACGAAAACAGAUUGAGUAGACUCUUGAUUCAGAUUUUUAGAUUGGAUUUGAUGAUAGUUUAUACUUCAAAGGAAGAAUUUGUGUUCCAAGAAAUUCAGAUCUCGUUCAGAAGAUUUUAUGAGAAGCUCAUAAUAGUAGCUUGUUUGUUCAUCCUGGUAGCAACAAAAUCUACAGUGAUUUGAAACAAAUGUACUGGUGGCCAGGUAUGAAACAAAAGAUUUCUGAGUUCGUAUCAAGAUGUUCAGUAUGUCAGCAAGUUAAAGCUGAACAUCAAGUACCUUCUGGUUUGUUACAGCCAGUGAUGAUUCUGAAACAGAAAUAGGAGUGCAUCACAAUGGAUUUUGUAUCGGGAUUGCCUUUGUCUUCGAGACAGAAAGAUGCAAUUUAGUUUAUCGAUGAUCAUCUGAUGAAGUCUGCACAUUUUAUUCCAGUGCGUACUGAUUAUUCUCUUGAAAGGUUAACCGAGUUAUAUGUUGCUAAGAUUGUUAGAUUACACGGGUGCCAGUUUCUAUUAUUUCUGAUAGUGAUCCGUGAUUUACGUCUUGAUUCUGGAGCAAAUUACAUGAGGCUCUAGGUACUCGUUUUCAUUUUAGCACCGUGUUUCAUCCUCAGAUAGAUGGUCAAUCUAAGUGAGUGAAACAAACACUUGAAGACAUGCUUUGAUGUUGUGUUUUAGAGUUCGAAGGCAAUUGGGAAAUAUUUCUACCGUUAGUUCAACUCGCUUACAACAACAGUUAUCAAUCAAGCAUAAAGAUGGCACCAUACGAAGCUUUGUAUAGUUGAAGGUGCUGAAAAAUCAAUUGUAUUGGACUGAGCUCAGUAAGAAAAAGAUUCACGGGGUUGAUUUGAUACGAGAAAUCGAAGAAAAAGUUAAAGUUAUUUGAGAAAGUUUGAAAGUAGCUUUAGAUCGACAUAAAUCAUAUGCGGAUUUAAAACGUAAAGAGAUUGAAUUUCAAGUCGGCGAUAAAGUGUUCUUGAAAGUGUCACCCUGGAAAAAAUUUCUUCAAUUCAAUCAUAAAGGAAAGCUAAGUCCGCGAUUUAUCGAGUGAUAUGAGAUUAUCGAAAGAAUCAGACCAGUAGCUCACAGAUUGAUGUUGCCUUCAAAGUUAGAUAAGAUACAUAAUGUGUUCCACGUGUCUAUGUUACGAAGAUACCGAUCAGACCCUUCACAUGUUAUCUUUCCUAUUGAUGUCAAGAUUCAACCCGAUAUGUCGUACAGUGAAGAAUUGAUCAAAAUUCUAGCUCAAAAAGUUAAAGAAUUGAGAAAUAAAAACAUAGCUUUAGUGACAGUUCUUUGGAAAAGACACAAUUUAGAAGAAGUCACCUGGGAACCGGAAGAAGCUAUGAAAGCGUAAUACCCGAACCUAUUUUUUGGUAAGAUUUUCGGGGACGAAAAUUCCUUUAAGGAAGAGAGUUGUAACAGCCCGUUUUUAGUGAAAUCAGAACAGUGGUUUUGAAACCAUAAAUCCACCGUGAAAAUAUUUAUUUUAAUAUUAUUUUAAAGUCUACGGUAUGAUAGUAGUGUCGUAUAAAAAUUUCGUUAAGAAUUUUGAUGUUUGCGUAUUUAAUUUAGUGAAAAGAACUAAAUAAUUAAAGGUGCAAAAUUAGAGUUCUAUAAGUUAAAGGUACUAUAUGGCUAUGAAAUUAAAUGGUUAAAGGAUUUAGUUGGUAAUUAAACCAUUUUGAUUGUGGGUGGACAAUUUUGUGCAUACUAUUAAAUGAUUUUAAUGUUCUGUAAUAAAGUUAUAAUUGGAAGCUCGUCGGAGACCUAUAACACUAUCCAGUAGCUAUAUCGAUAGCUUUUGAUGUUUUAGUUAUGGUUAUAAUGACAUGUAUAGGUGAACUUGUAUUAAUGAUCUAGUGGUUAUGUUUGGCAUGUAUUUAUGUGGUAACAUGGUUGUUAAACUUUUGGCAUUUUGGUGUUUAAAUGGUUGGUGUUGAAAUAAUCAAGUAAAAGUAUAUGUUGGAUGACCAAUUUGGUAUGUUUGGUUGUGUUUUUGUACAUGAUAAAUUAUGUUAUGACAUGGUACAGAAAUAGGUAGUUGUGGGUGGUUGAUUUAUGUCAAAUGUGUUUAUGUUUUGGUUGAUUUCAUGAUUUGUGAUUGAGGUGCCUUUUGGCAUAUUAGUUGUAUGGAUAGAUACCAUAUUGAAUUAGUCCUAUCAUGCAUGUUUGAGGUAUGUUUUGAAACUUGAUUUUAUUUGCAAAUGACUAGCAGGUGUGAGCUUGAUUUGGGUGAAAGAAAUGGCUUAAAAAUGACUUAUUUAUUGUCCACACGGCCUAAAACACGAGCGUGUGUCUUAGUUGUGUAUGACACACGACCAUGCGGCAUGGUCGUGUGUACCCUGUAGGUUUUAAAGGUGGUUUUUCGAAAGUUACAAGACCAGACACACGGGCGUGUGGCUUGACCAUGUGACCUAAGUUAGAGAGUUACACGGGUACGAACACGGGCUGAGACAUGGCCGUGUGUCCCUACUUCGAAUGUCCACAGGACCUGAACACUUAACCACUGAACCAGAUCAAUUUCCUUGUAAAAAAUUUCCAAGAUCUAAACUCAUAAUUGAGGGAUGGCCACUUUUGGUUUCAAAAUCCAAUUUCUUCUAUCCCGACUUUUGGGAUGUUACAACUCUCUCCCCUUUAAAAGAGUUUCGUCCCUGAAAUUCCCACAGUCUCAUCAGUUCCUAAACUAUAGAAUCUAUAUUGUUCCUAUUCACAUAGACCACUACGCUGUCGCUGCACAACUCAAAAUUUAAUACAAAACAAACAAUAUUUCCAAUGCUUUUUAUUCACCAACGCAAAUUAUUACAAGAACAUAUCACAGAAAUCGCUAAUGGUUCUUCAGUUGUAGGUUCAAAUCAAUAGCACUCGCACUCUUCUCAUAGUUAGAAUUUCUCCAUCAUGGGCUUUUGGCCUACAAAUUCAAUUUGUGUCUAAUCAACCCUUUCGAAUCACUAAACACAAUUCGAGCACCGCAAUGCCCUACAUUCUUGAUUAUCGCCCUCAGAUUUGAGCAUCCUUACAGGUUCAUAAAUUCUUAGAUUAGACUCGUUACCCCAAGAAAAGGACUCGACUCGAGUCGCUCGACGAUUAAGGCUACCUAUACUUAUUAUUUUAAUCUACAGUUUCAGAGAUUCUAUGAGUUAACUUAGGUUUAUCAACAAUCCUAAGACAAAAGUUUUAGCAGAGGUUUUCACAGAGUUUCCACAGUUUUUAACUAGAACAUAGUAAUCAAACACUACAAUAUGUGUUAGCUCAUUUAACAUAGCUAAAGUAGAGAUACUUACAGAUCGGCGUCGGAGUCUCGGAUUCUUUAUUUACAGACUCGAAAAUAGUCAAAAUCUGAACAUACAGUUUUUUCAGGAAGUCAGUCAGAAGUUUCAUUUACUUAAAACAUUUUUUAAGAAGAGUUUUGAACCCAAAAACCAUAACCUGAGCUUUGCAAACUUAGCUCUAAUGCCUCUGAAUGUAACAACUCAAAUUCGGCCUAGAAGUUUAAGCCAAAUUUGGAUUAGUUACACCAACGUAUUGAAAACUGAUUUCUUUUAGGAGUUUUAACUUUGAAAACCAAAAAUUCAUUUUAGUCGAUUUAGGUGGUUUCAUAAUUCUGUUUUAAAACUUGACAAAUACUGACAAGAUUAUAAAAGAAACCAGGCAAGUUCGAAACAAAUUACAAACCCAAAAGAUUAAAUCAUAGUUAUUUUAGUACAAAACAAUCUGAGCUCUCGUACACCGUCUGAUCCUAAAUCGGAUGUUUUCCUGAACAAGUAAAGGUAAGACAAAGAGUGAGUUACCAAGCAUCACGUAUAACCAACUCAAAUACAUAUAAAUAGCGUAAUAUAUAAAUCGUAGUAACGCAAAAAACUUAAUAACAGUUGUAUAACUAGUAUGGAACAGAUCUAGAGUAUCACAAAGAUUUCAACAAAGGUAGUACAACAGAACAAAGUACAACAGAAUAGAGCAGAACCAAACAAAUCAAAUAGAACAGAACAUAAUGGAAUGGAGCAGAACAGAACAGAGUAGAGCAAAACAGAGCAUGUAUGUUUAUGUAGAUGCAGUAUUUCUCAAACAGAUCAGAAUGUAAAUUUAUCAGAAAAUAUCCUAGCCAAUUUUGCUACACACCAAAAUAGAAUUCCCCCAGAACUCGUCCAGCCAGAUCACACCAAUAGAAAACUGUGGACAGUGCCACUAGAAUAUUUGUUGUUGAAACUGCCAGACCAGAUAUAUGUGGUCAAAUCACUAUAUCAUAGUCGAGCUGUCAGAAUAGAAUUGUGGAUAAACCACCAAGUAAUGCAGAUCAUUAAACUACCAGAAACUUCCUCAUUUCACAUUAACCCAAAUCCCAUACAAUGUGUCAUGGCACGCGUAUGCAGAAUCGGAGUGAUGAGCAUAUAAGUAAUGCUAUCAUUCAAUAACAGAAUCAAUAGACAUGGGAGUUCAUGUUUUGUAAGACAGACUCAUCAAACCUCAACAGAUCAUAUUAGAUUUGCCAUGAAAUCACAUGCACGACUUUAAGUCAGAAUCAGUAACAAUCACUUUAACAUAUCUAGAUAUCGUAUAUUCUUUAUCAACAGAGUAACGUAGAGAAGUACCAGCAAACUUAACAGAAUACAGACCGUACCUAGAUAAUUCACAUACAUUAUACAAUAGCACACUACAUUCUGAUAGUUUCUACAUACUUAGGUUCGGCAUAGCAAAUAUAUGUAUCGUUCCUAAGUUGUUCAUCAUCAGAUAAUCAGAUAUCAAGUUAUACAAUCUAAUUCAGAUUGUACGGACCCUACAGUAGACAUGCAUUUGUUUUAAACGACGCUUGUGGCCCGAGCGAAAAAUUCUAAAUAUUAUUCCACACGUUCAUGUGGUUUCAUACGGCCUGGAGAAUUGGCCCAUGUGACUCCACACGGUCUAGCACAAGCUUGUGUGUCCUACAUGGCUUGACACACGCUCAUGUCCUUUACCUGUGCUGUCCUAAAACAGUGAGUUACACGGCCUGGAUACAUGCCCAUGUCACUGGCACGUGUGAACCCUGCACAAUUCAUAACCACAAAAACGGUCUGGGAACACGCUCAUGUUCUUCACUGGUUGUUGAACUUAUCAUCGAUAACCUUUAAAAUCUCAUUAAAGAUCGGUAAGUAUUCUCAUUUCCAAUUAGAACCCAUAAAUUCUGUAAUAUUCGUUCUUGUUAAUCUUUCAACUCGAAUACGAAUCUUUUACGAAAUUUCCCAAAGAUCUUGAAAAUUUUGAUAGUUCUAUUCACUUUUUUCCCAUUCUUUUCUUUAAAUUUUUAGCAAACUAGAGUGAAAGUCACCUAAAAAUAAGUUUAAAAUAGAGUAGAAAAUUAAUAAAAGUGAGCAAUAGUUCAAAUGAUUAAAGCCUUUACUUUUUUCUCCCUUGAAAACCAGGUUCAAGUUACGCCAAACUCCCCAUUUCCAUUUUAAUUUCGACCAAAAUUGGAUAUCUUGCCUUGCAAUCCCUUGAAAUUUGAAAACCCUAAGUAUUUAAUCCUCCUUUUCCUAAUUACUCUAGGAUUUUUAUUUCUUUUCUAUUUCAACUUGAAUGUUCCCUCUUUUCCCUUUAAAUUCUUCUUUUCUUUUCUCCUCUUUUUCUUUUUCAUCAUAUUUCACAUUAUUUUGCUAUAAAAAUUAUUUCUUUGCUCACUCCGAAUCAAAAUCAAUCUCUAUUAAAUUCAUUCUACACUGGUUGUUGAGUUUAUCAUCGAUAACCUUCAAAAUCUCAUUAAAGAUCGGUAAGUAUUCUCAUUUCCAAUUAGAACCCAUAAAUUUUGUAAUAGUUGUUCUUGUUAAUCUUUCAACUCGAAUACGAAUCUUUUACGAAAUUCCCAAAAAAUCUUGAUAAUUUUGAUAGUUCUAUUCACUUUUUUCCCAUUUCUUUACUUUAAAUUUUUAGCAAACUAGAAUGAGAGUCACCUAAAAAUAAGUUUUAAAUAGAGUAGGAAAUUAAUAAAAGUGAGCAAUAGCUCAAAUGAUUAAAGCCUUUACUUUUUCUCCCUUGCAAACUAGGUUCAAGUCACGCCAAACUCCCCAUCUCCAUUUUAAUUUCGACCAAAAUUGGAUAUUUUUCCAUGCAACCCCUUGAAAUUUGAAAACCCUAAGUAUUUAAUCCUCUUUUUCCUAAUUACUCUAGGAUUUUGAUUUCUUUUCUAUUUCAACUUGAAUGCUUACUCUUUUCCCUUUAAAUUCUUAUUUUCUUUUCAACUCCUUUUCUUUUUCAUCAUAUUUCACAUUAUUUUUUUGUGAAAAUUAUUUCUUUGCUCACUCCAAAUCAAAAUCAAUCUUCAUUAAAUUCGUUCUUCACUGGUUGUUGAAUUUAUCAUCGAUAACCUUUAAAAUCUCAUUAUAGAUCAGUAAGCAUUCUUCUUUCCAAUUAGAACCCAUAAAUUCUGUAAUAGUUUUUCUUGUUAAUCUUUCAACUCAAAUACGAAUCUUUUACGAAUUUUCCCAAAAAUCUUGAUAAUUUUGAUAAAUCUUGGAAACUAUUAUUGAUUCUUAUGUAAAUCCUAUUUAAAAGACCUAUUCCAAGUACCCUAGAUCAGACCUAGGCACAAGGAACAAUGUUUGAGAUCCUGGUGACAAGUGUGUUCUUUUAUGAGAAAAUCAGACCUAGAAUAGACCACAUGGUCGACUAUACAUGAAACAGCCCAUUUUUAGUGAAAUCAAAAUAGUGAUUUUGGUACCACAAAUUUGAGUCCGUAAGAAAAUUAUUUUAAUAUUAUUUCAUGAUCUACAUUAUGAUAGGAAUAUCGCAUAGAAAUUUUGUUAAGAAAAUUUUACCGAUUUCAUGUUUAAUUGAGAAAAUGACCAAAUUGCAUAAACUGCAAAAGUUUAAUUUUAGUAGCUAAAAGGAUCAAAUAGCUAUGAAAUUAAAAAUUUGAGGUUCUUACAUGGCAAAUGGACCAUUAGGAGAAGUUAGUAGAUAAGUAUGAUGAUUCAUCCAUGGAAAAUUAGAAAAAGAAAAUGAUAAAAUUAGAAAGAUGAUAAAUAAUAACAUAAAGAAAAAUAUCAUCAUUUAUCAUCAUCUCUCCCAAAUAAAAUAUGGAAACCCUAUCCAUGGAGAAUUGAAGAAAGUUAAACUUAUUUGGCCUAAUUAGGUGAGUAUUCAAGUCUCAUUUUUAGUAAUUUAUAUAUUUCUGAGAUUGUAAUAGUUUAAUUUAGCUAUCUCAGGGGUUAAUUUGCAAAUUUAUCAAAGUACUAGGGUUUUUCCAUGGAUUAAUAUGCAUGAAUUGUUAAAUUUCUGGUAGAAAAUGAGAGGUUGUUGAUAGAUAAACAACUUUUGUAAAGUGAAUUUUGAUGAAAUUGUGAUUUAGGGACUAAAUUAUAAAGAUGUAAAAUUCAUGGAAAAAUUAUAAAUUUUAUGAAUUACAUGGGCUGCAAAUGUUAUAUGUAAAAAUUGGCUAGGCUUGGAAUAAGGAUUAAAUUGCAUGAAUUUCAUUUUUCGAGCCUAGGGACGAAAUCGUCAUUAAUUAAAAGUAUAGGGGUAAAUGGUAAUUUUUAUUAGGAUGUGAAUUUAAUUGAAUUAAAUAGGGAUUGUAUUAAAUUGAGCUAACUUUACUUAUAUAGAUUCGGAUAGAUCAAAUACGGAGCUAGAUCGAGGUAAAGAAAAAGUAACGGAUUAGUAGCAUACAAGUUCACGAACAUUGUCGAGGUAAGUUCGUGUAACUAAAUUGAGAAUUUAUAUAUGUUAAUUGAAUUGUAUGUAUGUGUUUGUAUUAUUGUCAUGUAUAUGAAAGUAUUCACAUAUCCAACAAUGAUCGAUAAGGAUAAAGUCUCGUUUGAAUAUAUAAAAUUUGAUUGGAUACAGGGUUCUUGAAUUGGUUGUGGUCCUGCAUAUAUGGCGGACACAGCAUAGCUCAAAAGAGCAUCCCGUUAUUAGCCCUCUCGAGCUUCCCGUUAUAUGGCUCUUCGUGAGCUUCCCGAUUAAAGGCUCUUUGUGAGCUUCCUGAUUAAUGGCUCUCCGAGAUUCCCGAUCUAGCUCGCUUGAACUUCCCGAUAUAUGGCUAUCCAGAGCUUCCUGUUAAUGGCUCUUCAGAGCUACCCGUUAUUGGCUAGCAUGAGCUUCCCGAUUAUGGCUCUUAUGAGCUUUCCGUUAUACAGUCCGGAUAAGCUUCCUGUUACAUGGCUCACAUGAGCUUCCUGUUAUAUGGUUCGAGAGAGGGAUUCCCGAUUAUGUGCUCUAAGAAGCACUCUCGAAUAUGAAUUGACGGAUUACAAAUUGUACACUUCAAGUGUACUACCUGUGUAUCCAUCGAUAUUUCUAAUAAAUUCAACGGGCAAAGUUUCGACAUGAGAUAAUCUGAACUUGAGAUGAAUUAUUAUGGAGAUGUACAUGUUAUAUGGAUAUAUGAUGUGGAAAGCAUAUGUAUAUGAAAAUUUUACAUAAUGAGUUCAUCUUUGAUUCUUGAUAUUCACAUGAAGUACAUGACUAACGUAUUUCUUGAGAUUAUAUGUGUUUAGGCAAAUUGCCAAAUUUUCUAUGGAUGAAUUUUGCAUGUUUACUUUAAAUAUAAAUGAUUGGUAAGUUAAUAUCCCGUUAUAUGAACUUAUUAAGCAUAAUAUGCUUACCCUGUAUUAUUUUUCCUAUUUUAUAGUACUUUGGAAGCUCGUUGGGUUGGAAGCUUGGCGAAGAUACUUCACACUAUCCAUCAGCUCGUUUCGAUAUAAAAAGUAAGUUAAAUCUUAGGUUAUAAUGGCAGGUAUAGGCUAAAAGUGGUCAAGAAUAGCAUGUAUGUGUUUGGUUGAAUUUAGCCAUUGGAAUGGCUUGUGAUGAAUGUGUUUUGAUGUGUAAAUAUAUAAGGUUAUAUCAUGUUUAGUGUGAGAUUGAUAUGGUUGAUUUGUUAGUAAUCUUAUAAGUAUUGUUUAUAUGCAUUUUUGGUCAAAUAGGUAAAUUUGGAUAUAUGGAUUUAUGAAGUGAUACAUCAUGUAUAAGACUUAAUUUUGGGUUGGAUUUGAAUGUCUUGGAUUGGCUUGUGAAUGUGUUAAAGUGUUAAUGUAGGUACAAGGCAAGUUUGGGUGAGAAACAUGGCUUGGAAAUGACCUUAUUUUGUCCACACGGGAAAAGACACAAGCGCGUGUCUUAGCCGUGUGUGACACACGGCCUAGCAUAUGGGCAUGUGUUUUGGCCGUGUGUCCUCUGCAUAUUUAAAAAUUCAAAACAUAAUGCUCAAAAUUUAUCACACAGCCUGGCACACGGGCGUGUGGCUUGGCCGUGUGGCCCCUUCACCUUAAAAAAAUUUUGAGAUCUUGCGAAAAAUUCUAUGAGUACUCGGUUUAGUCCCGAAUUGUUUCUAAUGUAUGUUUUGGGUCACAAGAGCUCAUAUAAGGGACUUUAUGAAUACUUUCUGACAUGAAUGUUAAAUUUUAUGAAAUGUCUGUAUUUGAUCUGUAUAUUUCAGCAAUGCUCCAUAACCUUGUUUCGGCGACAGAUACGGGUUAGAGGUGUUACAAUACAAGCGUGUGGGCCGCUUGUGUGGACCACACAGCCCCCUUACACGACCAUGUCCCCCUGAAACCCUAGAAUUUUUGCUUCUCACACAGCCUAGGACCCUCCACACAGUCGUGUCUCCCCUGUAGGUUGAUUUUACAAUUUUCACACAACCUCAGUCUGUUACAUGACUCAGCUACACAGCCGUGUACCACCUCCACACGGCCUAGUCAUAUGGCCAUGUGUCCCUUAUGUUUUAAAUAUUAUAAUUUUAUCCCCUAUUUUUCAUAUAUUAUAAUUUUACCCUUAUUUUUCAAAAUUUAUAAUUUUGCCCAUAUUUUUUUAGAUUUUAUAAUUUUACCCCUAUUUUUCAUAUUUUAUAGUUUUGUUCCUUAUUUUUAAAAAAUUUUAUAGUUUUGUCUCCUACUUUAUAAAUUUUACAGUUUUAACCAAAAUAUUAUGUUUCAAUCAGAUUAGUCUUUGAACAAGUUCUGAACUAGUUUUAGUGAAUUAAAUUAUGCAAUUAGGUCUCUAAUGAUAUGAAAUAUGUUAGAAUCCUUGAUUAAUCAAAUUUAUAUGUUAUUUAUUUGUCUUUACUUAUAUUUGUGUUAAUUAUGAAUAAUAUAUAUUAUUAUUGUAUCUAUACUUGUGAUCGUAUGAACGACAUGCCCUAUGAUACUGUUACUCCGAAUACAUGAAAAGCAUGAAUUUUGGCUAAUGAGUUGAACUAUUAUGAGCAUAUUAAUUGCUAUUGUAUUAUUCUAUUAAAAGCAUAAUUAAAUACUACCAUAUUGAUUUAUUUGAGUUUGUCAUAUUGCAUUGCAUGGGGUGAAACGAUGUGAAUGAAAGAAAUUGAACAGUUUAUCUGCACCAUUAAGUGGUUUAUCCACACCGUUUGAACAACUUUUAUCUGCAACGUUUGAACAGUUUAUUAGCAACUUCAAUUUGCAAAUAUGUUAUGUAUCCACAACCUUUUGGCAACUUGUCUGUAAAAACUAUUUUAUCAAAAUAUCCGGUGGUAUAUCCACCAUUUUUUAUUACUAGUGAUUUAUCCACAAUGAGUGGAUCGUCCACAACAAUGAGUGAUUUUAUCCACAACAUGGUGUAAAUGUAGGGAGUUCUAGGAAGCUUUUACUGUAGUGUGUAGUGGUGGGGUAAAAACCUUUUUUCUAAUAAAUUGAAAUUGAAUGCAUUUAUGAGCAUUUGUAUUGUCGUGAACACCGAGAUAUUAUGAUAAUGAGUUAAUCUGGAACACCGAAAUUUUGAGUUGCUAUUAAAAUUGUGUUUAUCCUUUGAACAUUGAGAUAUUAUGUUGAUGAAAUUUAUCUGAUUUACUGAUAUUUUGUAUUGUUAAUUAAUUGCGGUUUAUCCUUUGAAGUAUGUUUUGUCUACUGUUUACUUUGAUCUUUUUGCAAUGGAACUCACACUGAGCUUCAUAGCUCACUACCGUUUUUAUUUCUAUCCUUACAGAUAGCCCACCAAGUUAGAACGUGGGCCCGGCAUACGGAGGGCUCGACUCGAAUUGACAGUUCUACCAUAUGAAUAUUUUAAAAUUACUAAUUGAUAUUUUUAUUAUUUCAGAUACUAUCAUUUUAUUUUGAACUAUGGCAUGAGACUUAGGUUGAUUUUUAAUUAGCAUGCAUGUCUUUUAAAUAAUUCUUUUUAAAUGUUGAAUCAUGGAUUAUAACCAAAUAUGCAUGAAAUAUAGAUGUUAUUAAAACUAAGUUAAAAAUCACGUUUCCACAGCAAGAUUAUAAAUAAAUUUUCUCUAAUAAAUAAAUUAGAAAUUAACUAAAAUUUUCAAUGAUAAUCAUCCUUUACAAAAAAGAUGUUAAACUACUUUUUUUAACUCAUAGAUUUUUCUAAAAAUAAGCUAAUUUUUCUUCUAAAAUAAAAAAAAAUGUUUUGAAUCGACUAUUUUAUAAACCUCGAUUGCUACUAGGUCAUUUUGAUGGCCAAUGUAAUUUCCCGAAUUUAGGUCUAACGUCUAAGCCAAAUUGGGGAGGUUACAGAGAAAUUUAGAAAUUGGGAAUUUUCAAUGUUAAAUGAUAGAAAAGACAAAUACUAAAGAAGUUUAGAAAAGUCUAUAUAUUGAGAGAGAAAAAAUUAGGGUAUUAACUAGAUUGUAAGAGAUUGAAAAGUAUUGGGGCCAAAGUGAAAAAAUUUAAAGUUAAAAUGAUUAAAUUGAAUUGAAGGAAAAUGAGGGACUAGAGGUGAAAAUUUACCAAAAGAAAGAAUGAAUCAUACAUGGUAUUAUAGAAAAAGUUAAAGGACAAAAUGGUAAAUAUUUGAAUUAGAUAAUUAUGAAAAUUUACCAAAAGAAAGAAUGAAUCAUACAUGGUAUUAUAGAAAAAGUUAAAGGACAAAAUGGUAAAUAUUUGAGUUAGAUAAUUAUAAAAAGUGUAAUGAUUAAGGACUAAAUUGUCUGAAAACAUAAUUGGUAGGGCACAAUGAUAAUUAAGUGAAUAAAAUAAUUAUUGAGAGUGUAUUAAUUAAAUAUGAAAUUGUGUCAAAUAAGAUUGGAGGGUCAAAAUCUAAAUCAUUAAAUUAAAAGAUAUUUUAAUGGAUUAAGUAGAAAAGUGUAGAAAAAGAUGAAAGAACCUUUCAUCUUUAUAUAUGCCAUCCGCACCACUUCUUAUAGCCACCAUCUUCAACUUUCCAUUUUCUUACAAAUAGGUCCUCACAAUUAAGUUAAACUCCUCUAAUUUCUUUUAUGAUUAGUGAGUGAAAUUAAUAGAGAAAUGUAGUAAUUACCCAAAUUUCAUAAGAAAUGCAUCCAUGAAUGCCUUGAAAGAGAGAAAAUAAAGAUUAGUAUUGAGUACAAGAGAUUAAGGUAAGAAAUGUUGACUUUUCAUGAAAUACAUAUUAGUUUUGAUUGAAAAACAUAGAUUAUGAUAUGUGAGUAUGAUUUUAACGUGUAAAUAUUGUAUGUUUUUAUACGAUAAAUGAAGAAAAAGUGAAGAAAAGUGAGAAACAAGUGGAGAGUUAAAGCAAAGGAGGAGCCAAAGUAAGAAAUAGAAAAAAAACUUGAUUCCUAACUUUGAGUUGUAAGUACAACUAGAGUUUCACUUUUUUUAAAAAAUUUGUGGUAAAUUGUUAAGUUAAAUUAGAUGGAUAUAAGUCUUAAUAUGAUGUUUAAUUAUAAGCUUGCAUGUUUUAUAAAUAAAGAAUAAGAUUUGAUAAUGAUUAAGUAUAAGGAAAUGAUAAAUUGAUUUUAUUUACUAAGUAUUACGUAAUAGAGAAAAUAAAAGAAAAGUAAGUAAAAAAAGACUAAAGUGUAAAAGAUAUAAAAGUUGAUAGAAUUACAGUUAUUAUAAAUAAAUGAGUAUACAAAGUGAAAUAUGUUAAUGAGUAAAAUAUGGAAGGAUGCGGUAAAGUUAUGAUAAUAUUUGAUAAACUAUGAAAAAGAAAAGGAUUAAAUUGCAAAAUAUGUAAAAGUGACAUGUGAAAGACAUAGUAAGAAUUAUUAGUGAAUUAUGGAAUUUUUAUAAGGUAUUAUGAUAUAUGUGAUAUAUUAUUGAUAUAUGAUUUUUUUGUUAAUUGAAUUGUUAUAUCAAUUAUUAAAUUAAAAUAAGUUCAAAGUAUUUGAAUUAUGUUUUGAAAUAAGAAAAUGAAAUGGAUUAUGAUAUAGUUUCUCAAGUAGACGAGAUAAGAACUAGUGGGAUAUAGAUGACAUACCAUUAAGGAAAUUUAGCGCACUCUCUAUUACGCACUUCAAUGUUGUCUCAUUACGCACUUUAAUUUUGUCCUGUACUGAUUCGUAUAUCCCACAUGUUCUGUUUAGUGUACUAGGCCUUUGUUAAAUGUUUAAUACUAUAUUUGUUAAAUGAAGAAACAAGAAAAUUAAAUGCAUUGAAAUAGGACUAAAUUGGGUCUUGAUAAAUAAUAGCAAUAGAUGAAAAGAUGUAAUAAUUGAUUGGUAAGUUUAAAGUUAAUUAUGCAUGUUCUGAAUAAAUUUAUGAAAAUGAUCAUAAAAUAAAUUAAGUUUUUAUAUUGGAAAAAAAUGUUAAUUAAACUCCGGGUGUAUUUACUAAGCUAGCAAUAACUUAACAUGUGUUUUAUACACGUAGGAAAAAGAGUAGAAACAAAGGAUACCAAAGAUUUGAAGCAUCUCAUCACAUCACCGGAGUCAAAAAAGACUAAUUCUUCUCUAUUUUGUCUUAGAUAAGUGGCAUGUACCUAGAUGAGUGUUAUGUUAGUAAAUGAAAUGUUAAGUGAUCUAGUCGUAAAACUUGAUAUUGGUUUGAUUAUUUUAAGAAAUUGAGUAUGGAGAAUGCAUGAUUAUAAUUGAUAAAUGAAAUGAUCUGGUUUAAAUUGUCUAUUGAAUAGGGAAUUUACAUGGUGAAAUUGAUGGGCUAUUUUGACAAAUUUUCCUUUGGAUUUUCUAAAAUAUCGAACCUUAUUUAGGUAUCAAUACUUUGACUAGGGAACAAAUAUAUAUGAAUCUUAUUUGAUUUUUCUAAAAUAUUGAAGUUUAAAACGGUAUCAAUACCAAUACAGGGGUAUCGAUACUUGAAACAAGGUAUCGAUACCUACGAGGCAGUAUCAGUACUUCAGCGCUAUUUUGCAUAAAUGAGAUGUUUAAACAAAAAUUUUAUCCAAUUUUAUUCAAUAUAAUAGUAAUAUGAAAAUAACAAGUAAAUAAUAUUAGAACAUUCUCUAUAAAAGGUCCGAUUUAAUAGUAUAAGGCCAAGGUUACUCUGACAUCAAAUGUGACAUUCCUAUAUUUUGACCCGGGUGGUCGGGUCGGAUAUAGGGGUGUUACAUUUAUUAGUAUCAAAAUCCAGUUUUCUAAUCCUAAGGUCAAAAAUGAAUCUAGAAGUACAUGUCGUUUGUUUACUGAUGUGAUGAGAUGUGAUUUUUUUUUUUUUUUUUGGAUAAAGCUAGAUUGUGUGAUGUGGAUAGAAGAUGUCCCGAGAUUCUAGAGAUGCUUCAAAUGAAGAAAUAGAAAGUAGGGCUUCUAAUCUUAACCGAGGAGAACGUGUACCACUGUCUGCGGCCCAGAAUGAGCAGGAAGAACUAGUAAGAUCAAGGUCUGAACAAAGGCAAGAGUGAUAGGAAAACAAGAAAUGAAUCAGAAUUAGUACAUGUUAAAGGUCCAAACACAAUAAGCUUUCUUUUAGACAUUAAUCCAGUUCUCAGCAGUUUAUCAUAAUCAAUGUCCCUCCAGUCCUCCUCCACCUCCUGUCCCUCUUGUGCCAGAAUCAUAGUCCCAACAACAAUUUUCUGUUACAAAUUAACUAUCUCCUCUGGAGAAAAUUAGAAAACAUGGAGCUGAAGAAUUUAGAGGUAAGAAAUAAGAUGAUCAUGCUAUGGUUGGAUAUUGGUUAAAAAACAGUUCAGAUGGAGACAAGUUGAGAUGUGUUGUGUCAUUAUUACAAGAUGAAACUUAUCAAUGAUGGACCACUGUAAAGAGUGUGAAUUCGGUUGAAAGAAUUACAUGAAAUUUCUUCUUAUCAGAAUUUAAAAAGAAGUUUGUGGGUCAACUAUAUUUGGAAAGUAAGAAGUGAGAAUUCAUUGAUUUGAAGCAAAACAAAAUCACUAUGUCUGAAUACAAAAAAGAAUUUGUGAGAUUGAGUAAAUAUGCUUGAGAGCUAGUGACUACGGAAUCUGAUGUGUAGAAGAUUCGAGUGGGGACUGAAUGAAUAUCUUUAUGUACAUGUGGGUUUGAAUUUACAAGAUUUAUCAUCUUUGGUUGAAAGAGCACAAAGAAUAGAAGGAAUGAAUAGACACAAGACAAGAACUCGGGAAAAAGAGUAACCACUAGUUGAACAAACUAUGAAAACUACUCAAGUUCAGCAAGGGGAAAUCGGAUAGAAACAGUAAGUGGCACUGUUAGUAGUCAGAGAUAUGGAAAAGAAGUAGCAAAUUGAUCCGAAUCUCAAAUGAUACCACGAGCUUAUGCAGUUAUGCCAUUUGAUAAUCCUGAUGUGAUAACUGGUAAUGUUUCUUUAACUAAUAUUUUAAUGUUUGUGUUAAUUGAUUUCGGUUCUGCCCAUUAGUGGGAAAAAAAAAAGAGAAUUAUUAGUAGAAUGUGUCGAGAAGGAUGAAUUAAACAUUAGUUCUCCUGGGUAAAGGGAGAAGAAAGUGAAACAUAUGAGUAAUGAUUUUUGAGAAGUUACAGAUUAUAGAUUUUAUGUUAAGCUUACAGUUUUGAUGUGAUACUUGGCAUGAUCUGCAUAUCAGAAUAUGGUGAAAACUUGGUUGAAAUUUCAGUACUGCCCUGCAAAAAUUUCUUCAAAUUUGAUAGUCAGUUAGAAUCAGUGAUUCAAAAAUUAAAAGACAGGUUUAGAGAUUGUAUUAUUGAGUCUGGAGCCUGUUGCAUUACAUGGGAUUCUUGACAUGAAUGGGAAUCAAUAGUUAUUGAUUGAUUUUAGUUAUCAAUAUUGGAAAAACUUUUAUGAUGUUUUUCAUGUAUAAAUGUCGAAAUAGUUUCAGAAGAAAUUGAAAAUUCAGAUAGAUCUUAUAUCCGAAGGAGCGAUGUGGGUGAGUGAAGAAAUUAUAAGACAAUAGUAUUGCAGUUACCAGAGUAUUAUCAAUUUUUGAGGACAAAAUUUUUUAAGCGGGAGAGAAAUGUAAAAUCCUCAAAAUUUUAGGAAUUUGAAACAAUGAUAAAUAAAUAGUGAAUUAGUUAUAAUUUGAGAAAGUCGAAAUUUGAACAUUUUCAGUGUUAAAAGAAAGUGAAGUCAGAUACUGAAAAAGUUUGGAAAAGUCUAUAUAUUGAGAGAAAUAAAUCUGGGGUAUUAACUAGAUUGUAAGAGAGUGAAAAGUAUUGGAGGUAAAUUGAGAAAAUUAAGGUUAGAAUGAUUAAAUUGAAUUAAAAGAAAAAGGAGGAGGGAUAGAGGUGAAAGUUUGCCAAAAGAAAGAAUAAAUCAUACAUGGUAGUAUAGAAAAAGUUAAAAGGACAAAAUGGUGAUUAUUUGAAAGAAAUAAUUAUGAAAAGUGUAAUGAUUAAGGAUUAAGGACUAAAUUGUGUCAAAACAUGAUUGGUAAGGCAAAAUGGUAAUUAAGUCAACAGCUUAAGUAUGACAUAAUACAAGAAUAUGGUACAAAGGAACUUCAGCUAACAAGUGACAGAAACCAAACUAAAUUGGGUCUUUCCACCAUCAAUAUUCCUUUCAAAUCCUAGUUCAUAUCACUUAUCUUAUGUCCAUCCCUAGCAAAAGCAAAAGCAUGCUUGGAUGAUGAAUUAUUCUCCUCCCAUUAUCAAACUCCAAGGCAGCCCACUAAAUCAAACUUUGUAUUCACACCCAGAUUCCCUGUGUUUGAUCACCCAUAUUUGUAUUCUAAUAAUAUAGGCAAGUACAACUAGUUUGAGUUCCUCUACUUAAGAAUUUGAGCAAAAUUUGCAGCAAACAAGAACAAAACAAACCCACAUUUGAUAUAGGAAACAAGUAUGAGUCUAUGAUGAUACAAAGCAUGCCAAUAUGUGAGGUUAUUAAAACCAGGAAAUAUUCAGAAAGUACCUAUAUUUGGCAUCUCCAAUCCUCAAUUAUCCCCGCAGUUUAUGUCCUUGUGCACAACAUCACGUAAAAAAUCCGUAAUGACAGACUCAAAAUCCGGCAUUUUGGCAUACCCCGGAAAAUAAUUGAUAUCGAUGACUAGGUAAUUCUCCUUGUUUUUCCCAUCCCUAAUCACAUCGAAAUUAAACAAAUUUAACCUCAAUUCCUCCUUUAACCCUUCCACCAACUCCUUCACUAAACUCUCCGGGGGCAUUUCCGUCUUUUCAAAUUUACAACCUUCCCCUCCCCCUGCCGCUGCCAAAUUCGAGACCUGCGAAAACGGCAGUGAACCUUUCAAAUUUACCAGUUUCUCCUCCGAAAUAUCGGGUAACGACUUCCGUUUCACGCACCGGAAAUAUUUGCCGGCCACGUAGACUUUAAAGACGACGCCGCCGUGAUUAACGAACUCCUGCAAAACAAACGGCGCCGUUAAGUUAUUUAACCCAUCUUUGUCGAAGAUGAGGUGCAGUUUGUGCGACGUCUCACUGCCGUCCGCGUCUAACGGCUUCGCGAUUAACGGAAAGUUGAGUUUCAAAUUUUCCAAACCCGUAACUUCGGUAAUGGUGAUUUGUUUGGGGACUCCGGUGUUGUUUAUUUUUAGUUUCGAAACAGUUUCGAGCAUUGAGAUUCUGUUUCGGAGGAUGUCGAUGGACUCUGGAGAGGCGAUGAUGGGGAUGUUAGGGUUUCGGGAAGCGAAGUCUUGAAGAUUUUGUUUCCAGUCGGAGUCGUACAAUUUGUGGAGGAUGCAAUCGAAGGGUCCUUGUUGGAUCAAAGGUUUGGUGGGGUCGAUUUUGGUUAAAACAACGCCAUUCUGGGAGGCGUGAGAAAGGAGGGACGGUACGAUGAAAGUUUGCUCCUUUUUCGGAGUUAAAGCGUAGCCGAUUUGGUAGGGUUUUGAAGAAAGAUUUGACAUUUUUGGGAGGGAGAUCUGUUUGGAAGACGAGAAAGUUGAGGAAAGUAGAAGUUGCAGUGAGAAAAUAAUACAUAUGAGCUUCAGGAGAACGUGGCAAGUUGAAUAUAUUUAUAACACGUGUACUACUGCGUCCAGACUCAAAUGUUAACUGAAAAGAAAAAGGAAUAAGGAGAAAAUACGGAAAAGUCAAAUACGUAAUUAGAAUAUAGAGAUCUAAUAAAUAAAUGACAUGAACAAUUUAAAUUUAGUUAAUAAUAUAUCAGUAUAUAGAGGUGAUAAAAAAUUAUAAUAUAAUUAAAUGUAAAUAUUAGAUUAAAAGAAAAUGAUUUAUUUAUAUAAAUAGCAUGUGUUUAAAUCUGUAACUUUUUAUUAAUUUUUAUAAAAAAUAAAAUAUUAAGAUACUUUUAAAUAAUAUAAAUUUUUAAAAUAGAGAUUAAUAUUUUCAUAAUUUUUUUAAUCAAUUGGUGUUCGGUUGACUUUUAACAUCAAUCAAUUAAGAGUUUAAAUAAUGGUAUAAAUAAGUUAUAUAUAAGUGAGAGAAAACAUUUUAAAUAAAAUAAUUUGUUUUAAAAAAAUUAUUUAGUAAUUACUAUUGAUAUAAUGGUAAAUAAUCACAUUUAUGAUUGAAUUUCUCAAAAAUAAUAUUUUUUUUUAAAAUUACCAAAUUAAAUUUUUUUUAAGUAUUGGAGUAGGCCGAAAUAACAAAAACGCUUCCAAUUAGAAGCAUUUUUAGCGGAUUUAUAGAAAAAUGCUUCCAGUUAGAAGUGUGUUCCUUCUUGUCUGAUUUUUUAUUGUUAGGGUUUUAAUUUUUUUUAAAUAGGGUUAAGGUUUCUAGGUUCUAGUGGUUUAGGGUUUUGUAUAUUUUUAAAGUUUUUUUUAUAUAUUCUUUAGAUUUUUAAUAAUUUUUGAGAUGUAAAGUUAAUAAUUAUUUAAUUUGAUAUUUACAACAAUUGUAUUUACACCAAUCAUAUAUUUGAAUUGUAACAUUUAAUUCAAUUCAUAAUCUAAAAUCGAACUCCUCGAUUCAAUUAACUUCUAGUUUGUAAUUUUUUUUCUAUUUUUACGAAUGCAACUGAGUUUUGAUCAGAUUUUUUUUACAGGAGGUUGAGGUCAAUCAAAUUUUUCGGUACAUUUUUUUCGAACUUUCAGUGCAUUUUUUACGGGUGGUUGAGGUUGAUCAGAUUUUUUACGGGUAGUUGAGGUUGAUCAAAUUUCUGGAAAUGCAUUGAAAACACGUCCUACGUGGUGCGUUUUCCCUCUAACGCUUUCAGCGCAUGCAAACUUCCACUCACCUCGGCUUUAUAAAAGGAUGGUUUUUAGCAUUGAGUGGCAUAAAGCAAUUUCGAGCAAACAAAAUUGCAAGAAGAAGAGGAAGUUGGCAAGAUGUUUUAUAAGGCUUAAUUUGAAGCAACCACGCAAUUUGCAUUAAGUAAGGAUCUAUUUUUGUUGUUCAUAUAUAAUUACAACAUUAUUUUUUUGCAUAAUGUUUUUGUUUUGAACAUGUGGAACAUGUUAUUUCGUUGAAAAUGAGUGGAUAAAUUAAUGUUAUUGUUUAUUACGAUGAUGAAGUCCAUGACGUCGAGAAUGGGGUUUUUUUUAUAACACAACGCAAUUGGCUUUUAACCCAAACAUACAAUUGCCAAAACUGCGUAGAAGAAUUAGGCGAAAAAUCGUCGGAUCCAAUCAGAUGAAAGUACCAUAAUUGGAAUAUCGAUUUUGUACUUCGAUCAACCUCGUCAAAUAUGAUGCUUUCGAUAUCAAAGACGCAAGGGGGUUGAGGCAAUGGUGCAGACGCAUAUUACUAGUGUAUCACUAAUACUCGAGUUAUAUGCGAUGUUUGCAAACACAGAUGAAGGCGCUUGGAGGUCAAAAUAUGUUCCAGUUCGAGAGGUCAGAACGGAAGAACAAGCUUCAAGAUUCUAACGACACAGUUGUGCAAUAGGUUCAUUACUUUGUUAGAAAGUUCUCAUUAUGGUAUCCCAGAAUUAUCAAUGGGAAGACACUCAUCGGUUUCUGUAACACCCGAUUUUCAAUUAACCGGAAAACUUGAAAUAGUUAGAGGAUUAAUGUAACACCCCAUUUCCUGAACUAAUCGCAAGCUCCGAGCAACAGGAUGUCAUAUUCGUUGUUGGAACAACAAAUAUCAUUCGAUCCAUAAAAAUUUCAAAUCAUACAUUUAAACCCAUGGCCACAUCAUGAUUAACAUACAAAUAUCUCAACUAAUAACCUAUUUAUUCAUUGCAUUUCAUGCAGCCUCUGUUCCAACUAUAUAUAUAUUGAUUCACACCCAAAGCAUUAAAACCUCAUCUAAAUACUCGCAUUGCAACAUCAAGAUCAAAUGUAUACAUAGUACAAAACAUUAUCAACUAUCAUAUAUGCCUAUUUAUAUAACAUAAAAUCCUAUAGGUACAUGCCGACCAAAGUAGCAAUAGGUACAUGCCGACCAAAGUAGCAAUAGUUUCACCAACUCGAUGAGUGCCGGAUUAUCUGCUGGAUGCUAAUAACAAUGAGUGCACACGAUUGAACCUAACCUACGCAUGGAAAACAAACCGGACGCUGAGUAAUCAACUCAGUGGCAUUUCUAUAACUAAUAUUAUAACAUAACAAAAAUUAUGUAAGGACAUAAACAAAAUAAGAUAAUUAUGUAAGAACAUAAACAAAAUAAGAUAAUCAAAGGUCCAUAAGGAGUUUAAUAUGUUAAAUUAUGUUAUAAGAACAUAAUCAUUUCAUAUUGCAUUUGUAGUCAUAUCGGCUGGUUGCCACAUAUUCAUCUUCAAAUUCCUGACCUGUAACUCCAAAAUUCAAUUAAACAUUGAACAAUCUCUUACAUGCAAAUAAAUCACGCUUUGCAAACAAAACCGGGUCUAAAAUUAGCUUACAAAAGCUCCGAGAACAAACAAGGAUUAAAUUGUAACAUUUUUAAAAUAAUAAGUGAAUGUGAGAAACAUGGGUCACACGGUUGUGUGGGUUAAAAGUCCAACUUACCAUAGGUCACAUGGCCUUGUAGUGCUAGCUCAUGUAGUGUAUGAUUGAGCUAAUCAGUAUCAAAUUUCAUGCCUUAAUUGGCACCCAGAUACACCAUUCAAAUCUAGUAGCACAAGCAAUUCUAUCAAGCACUACCAAGUUUCUCAAUCAACUAUCAUCCUUAUAACAAUUCCUACCAUUCUAUUCAAUUUAUGGCCAUUUCAUUUCUAGCAACUCAAAUCACAUUCUCAACCUCACAAACAUACCAACUGCAUACUCAACUCAUAACAAUAAACCAGAUUUGAAUGACAUAAAAAUACAAAUUCUAACCGUUAAGACAGCAAUUCAGACAACAACCAAGCAUAUAAUUCGAUUAACUAUUUAAUGCAUUAAUUUGGUAGUUUCCUAGUUACGCACUUCUGAACAACAACUUAAUAUUUAUUCUUAGAAAUAGCAGAUUUAAUAUUUAUUUACAGACAAUAAUUAAACAUGCAAUUUUUGAACAACAUUUUAAUACAUUUAUUCAGACCAGCCCAUUUUGUACAAAAUGGACUGCCCUGUUUAUACAACAUUAUUAUGUAUAACAUCAAAUUGGACAGGUUAUUACAUCAAGUAUGCAAGCACUUAACCGGCAAGAAAUCAUAAUUAAUAUGUCUGUCUUUGAACAACUUAAAUGCAUUGAUAAUGCAAGAGAUUAAGGCACAUUAACAGCCUAAAUGUUAAACAUUAAUCCCGAGGAUGAAAUGUUGAAAAUCUAGCAUUCGAACAAAUUGAAAUCCAGCAUUCAACAGCAGCAACUUAUAGCAUUUAAAUCAUAAAUUUCCCUUUAAUUUAGACAGCAACAAAGAGUAACAAUACAUAGUAUUAAAAUCAAUAAACAACAGCUCAUUUAACCCUUACAAUGAGUAGCCAAAUUAAAAAAAAAAAAGACAACAUUUAACCGAAGUUCCCUUCAUUUAAAACAGCAGUUAAUGGCAUUUAAAUCAAAGGGAUUUGUAUGUUGAAUUUUCAGCAUUUGGGCUGCAUUAAACACUUCCAAUCAACAGUCAAAUUUAAUAAUCAACAAUCACACUUUCCUUCAUUUACAACAGCAGGUCAAAGCAUUUAAACAAAAGAAUAUGCAUGCUAAAUUUCCAGCAUUUGGACAACAUUUCAACAUGAAAAUUUCCAGCUUUUCACCUUCAAUAUUUCGAAUAUUCAAAAGCAAAAAGAAGGGUACAACUAAUCAAUUAAAAUUUUUGAACAUAAUUCAAGGUAUAUGUUCAACCGAACAUUCAUGUUAACUCAUAAUCAACAAGUUAUUAAGUAGAAAAUAAAAACAUUAUUAGCAUGCAUGCUAUCUGCAUACAACUACCGUUCAACUUCCAUCUCCUACCAGCCUUACCAAUUUCACCAUUUGAAAGAACAGUAAGGAAAAGAAGAGAAAAGAACAAGGGCGUGACUGUGAGAAUCUCACCAGAAAAUCCAACAGAAACUACUCUGAAGCCGUGCCUUUCCCUUUCUUACUGCUGCUUCCAGCUUCUCCCUUAGCUGUACACAACCAUUUCCUUGUUAAAACAAAAGAAAACACAUUCCGCAGCCCUGUAUUUCUACUAGAACACUUCAUGAAUUUAUUAGUCUUGGACAUGCAAGAACUCAGCUGCAAGAGGGACCUUCGGUCAAGCUUAAAACCAACCUCUCCAAAGUCCCAUUCCCAGUUCCCACCAGUGGUCUAGAGGCAAAGACGAGUUGAGGAAUUUACCUAUUUUUCUUCCUAAAAUCAGCUCCUAAUGAGCCCAGUUUGACCAUGAAACAGUUUAACCACCCACUUCUCUUUCUUCAAACAGUUAGCAAAGAUGAGCAUAAGGAAAGAAAAUCAAAAUGUUUAAGUCUUUUUCUGUUUCUAUCUUUCGUCCAGCCACAACCAUUCACAACUUCAGUUUCCUCGCUCUUUUUUCUUUCUCACCGUCCCAUCCCUUUUUCCCAAGAAAAUCCAUUUUAAUUAAAAUUAUAUGACAAUAUCUAAAUGUUAGUGGGAACAAUCAUUGACCAAUUUCCCAUGUUUACAAUCGACCACCCAACCAAAAGUCGCACACACCCUAAACCCAUUAGUUAACAUUAUAAAAUAUUAAGCAUAAUGAUUAACACCACCAUCAUCUAACUAUCUAGUUUCAUUUGAAAGAAACAUUUGUAAAGCAUAACUAUGUAGAUAACUGGCGCUAACUAGCCCAACCACCAUACCAAAAUUCCCUCCUCAACCAAGGUUAUGAAUUGAAAUAAAAUGAAUGUCUUUGGAGUUAUUAAAUUUACAAAAGAAAAACAAUACUUUAACCCUCCAUCUUGUAUUGAAAUGAUACUUUUACCAUUUAAAUCCUUAAUUUAAUUAUCUUAAAUCACCUUAGGUAAUUACAAUUUCAAAAAAUUAAUUUUUGAAGAAACUUUAAUACAAUUUUAAUAAAUAAAAGAGAGUUGAGAGAAGAAUAAAAUUUAAGUGAGAAAUUCAAGAGAGAUUUGAGAGAAAUUUGAGAGAGAUUUAAAAAUAUGAGAGAGAGAGAGAGAGUUGAGAUUGAAUUGUAAAAAAAGGAAAGAAAAUAGGGUUUAUAUAGAAGAAAAAAUUCGUUAAGGGGGUUCAACGACCAUUUGCUAAAAAUGUUUUCAACUAAAAGCAUUUACAUUUUCGCUAUUUCAACUUGAUCCCAUAACUUUUUUUUUAAAUGGCUUAAACUAGUACUUUUUUUAAAAGGCAGUAUUUUUAGCACUCCAGGGCACUUUACCAUAAAAGAUUUUUGGAAUUUCAGGGGGUUUGGUUCAGUAAAAUAUUCUGAGUCAACGGAAAAUGUUAAGUUAGUAAACUGAAAAAGAAGGCUUUAUCCCAUUAGGCAAGAAGGAGUGGAAGACCAAACCUCUCACUUUAUUCACUCUCUCACCUCCACUCAUCUCGUAAAAGGACUCCAUCAUAGGCAAAUUUUCUGUUUCUCCAUGAUCUUGGAUUUGGUAGCUUUCAUACACUAAAGCAAUACACAGAAAGCCUAGAGAAUCAGAAGGUUAGUUAAUCUUUUCUUUUCUUUUUUUGUUUUUGUUUUUUAAAUUUAGGUUUGAAUUGUCCUAUCUUUGUAGUUGGGACUAUUUUAUUUAGGAAUUUGGUGUUUGGAUCAUGUGAACAAGGUGGGUGUUUCUUUUUUUUUUUUUUUCUGAUGGAUUUUAUUGCAACUUCAGUUUCUAUUUGGUUGGUUAAAAAUGAGAAAAAAAAAACAAAUAGAAAAUAUAAAAGGUAUUUUCUAGUUUGAAGUGAAAAAAGCACCUCUUUGAAUGGUUAGCUGCCCAAUGAAGAUUUUGAUUUUCAGCUGAGUGUUAUGUACUUGUAUGAACUCUGUUUGAGAUUAAUGAUGUGAGUUUUGGUUGAUAUAAUUUACAACUUAGUUGUUUUGAUUAAUACUUUGUUAUCUGUUUAUCUAACAUUGAGAGGGACACUCGAGAAUUAGAUGAAAUCUUGCAAUACUUGGAAAAAUAGUGAUGAUUUUGAUAAUUGAAUAUUAGUUUCUUUAACCUUCCUUACGUGUCUUGCAAAUGUUUUAAUAUGAAAGUGAAGUUAAACUGUAGAUUUUUCAUUUUAAUUAAGUGGAAAAGUUUCAGUAUUGUUAACAAAUAUGUUUCAUUUUUAUAGAUAUGUACAAGAACCAACUCAAAGAAGUUGCUUUAAUCUGGUGUCUAAUUCUUGCAUCCGAGAAGGACCUAAAUUUUUAAUGCAGCUUGUUACACCAGGAAACUAUGCUUUUAUAAACUCUGAAAUAAUUUGUUCUCUUCAUCUUGCCACUGUAUUUUUCUUGGAAUCUCUACCCUCUGUAACAUACUUCUCAAUGAUUGUCUUUUAAAUGAGAAUGUCCUAUAUAUUUCUCAUGCAUAUAAAAACUCAUGUUUAGUACCAAAUGUAAUAGCUUAAAUGCAAGAGCCUUAGUUGGAAAGAAACAUGAAAAAGUGAUUGGUUUUUCCAUAUUCGGUUCAGUAAAUCUUAUGGUCACUUCCAUGAUAUUUUCAUUGAUUCCUAGUUACUUAGGAACUUCCAAACUGAAGGGCCGACCCCGUUUGAGAAAGGCAGGCGACCAAACCAAUAUCUUUAUUGUUCCCUUUGUUGUUGUUCGAUUGUUUUGCAACUUACAAGUAUAUAUAAAAGAUUGGGGAAGGGAAGGUAUCUAAACUCACAAGCUUAUAAUCAGAAAAAAAGAGAAAGAUGCAGGGCCAUGUCUCACAGGAUACUCCGGUUGGUGUUCCGGCAGCUUUAAUAUGGGAUGUAUACCGUGGUCUGGAACUGGGGAGGCUUGUGGAUAAACUAGCACCGGAGGUUCUUGGAAGGGUAGAAUUCCUAGAAGGUGAUGGAGGCGUUGGAACCAUUGCCAAACUCACACUUCCCCCAGGCACGUACUUGAUAUAUUGAUAGUCUUUGGUUAGAAAUAAUAAGUGAUUCUAUUUUGCAAUAAAAUGUGAAUUUCAUUGUAGGAAGCCCUGGAAGGGGUUACAUGAAAGAAAGAUUCACAAAGAUUGAUGAUGAAAAUCGAGUUAAAGAAACAGAAGUGCUUGAAGGAG